ACUUUGCCUAAACUUGUGGAUGGAUCCAUAAACAACUCUCCUUUAAAUGAGGCAUUUGCCAACAUUUCCUCUAUUUUUCAUGAGUUUGUUUCUAACAGGAGUGCUGUUUGAUUGUUGAAGGGAAGCUAAUGGAGACCUAUUUUUAACCAUUUUUUCCACUUCAGAAAAUACAGCAUCCGUAGAGAAGUCCCUCUGCAGAGCUAAGUCAUGGAAAGAAAUGAUACGUCUAGUCUUAACUGUCCUUGUGCAUGCUCUCAUCCCACAGUACCUUGCCAGAUUUCAAUCAAACUAGGGCAGGAACGAGAACAUGGGGCAGGUGGUGAAGAACAGCUCAUGUGUCAUACAUCCACCCAUGAAUGCCGCCUCCUGGUACCAGUGUUGGCAGCCAGUCCUUGCCUUCUGGAAUCGGACAGGUACCAUGGAGGAGGAGGUGAUCUUGGUGUUUCUAGCUCUUCAGUUGUUGUUGGAAUUUUAUUUGUUGCUGCAGUGAGCACUGGUCGCAAUGUGUAAGACUUUCAUCUCUCUGAAUAACUUCAAACACUUGUUGGGUUCUGUGUUUGAGACCUAGGGGCACACGUAGCCUGGAGUGCCAGGUUUAUGCGUUACUGUGAAUUCACAGCUGGCCUCAAAUGCUUUCAAAAGCAGUAGCUGAAGUAACUUUCAUAUUCAGCAGGUAACAGUGAAAGGCCUUGGUCAACAGUCCCUUUGAAGGAGUGGUCCUGCUGUCACCUUCAAAAUCAGUGCUGUAAAGCCAGUGCCUUCUAACUCUCGUGCUUAUCCUCAUGCUUGCUCAUGAACCUCCCUCUUCUGGGGAAGAGUGGGAGGCAUUCUGUUUUAUUAUUAUUCUUGUUUUAAAUGAUCCGGUAUAAACUGAUGGCUCCAGAGAAGUAGUAUUGUCCAGCCUGCUGUUGGAUCCUUGCAAGCUGAUUGGAAUAGCUGCCUGAAACUGUUGGUAUGUUUUUAGGGGUUGCAGCCUUCACUGCUUGCCUUCCCACCCUUCAAGGACGGCUCACCCUUUUCAGUUGCACUGACGUUAAUUGCUUGGUGGAUCAUGCAAAUCAUUCAAGUUAUCAACAGCUGCAUCCCACUGCACACUGUCUUCAAAAUAGGAAGAGGCACCGGGUAUCUGUGGGUGAUUAGAGGACAUUAGGUCAGCUUUGCCACUGAAGCAGCACCGUGAGUCAGCUGCUUUACCAAAGCAAUGGCAAUGGUCGUGUGGCUUCAACGAGCCUGUACAAUAGCAGACACUGGUAACCACAGCUGCCGCCAUCCCACCUGUCCUGUUGUCUUCUCAAAAAGAGUGGCACUGUGCCCUGCCUGCUAUGACCAGCACCUGUCUUUCCAUUAGGCAGGAAUAUUUCACCCCGCAGCAGCGGUUAUGCUAACAAGUUAUUCAACUCUUUGGAGACCCUUCAGUUUGGGCUAAUGUUAUAGUGGCUUAGUGAUUUUCCUCUGCAUCAGCCCUCAUUCUCUUUUCCUACCAUCAGUAAUUUCAUUUCUUCAUCUCUGCUGAGCUGUGGCACCAACGCUUAUCUGAAUAUCUGUGACCUUCCUUUUACUGUUUGCUCUCCUUGCUAUCUUCAUUGGACUUCAUUUUCCUUCCCUGCUGUCUUUUUACAGGAUUUGUCUUCAGCCUCUGUCCUUUUUCAUACAGAUAGAUGAAACUGUUUUAUUAUUUUACACUUGGUAUUUUUUUCUCGUUAGUUUACAAAAAUGUAAAUGUAUUUUAUGUCUUGUGGCAAUGCUCACGUAUAAGAGCAUUUGGUGUGUUACAAAUGGCUAUGAAAAGGGAUAGGACUUGAGGAGGUUCAGAAGUAAUGCACAGAACUGCUGCACUGGGAUGUUAUAUUGAUAUCUGUGUUUGGGUAUUGAAUCAGAAGUCAAGGUGAAGGUUUGAUUCCAGGCUCUGGAAUCACUGCUGAUACGGAGAACUUGCAUACACAGGAGGGGAGUGACUUACCAUGUAAUUAAUAGCUUGUGGACUACACGUCUAUCAGCAUGAGUUUCAUUUGAAAACCUUAGCUUUCCCCAUGAGGUGAUUGAAUACAGAGUGCUUAUUCCCUUAAUUCCUUGUGUUAACAAGAAAACGAAAAGGUCGACAAGAAGGAAUUGGCCCUCUCAGGGUUUAACAGUGAAUGAGGACAAGAGCAUGUUGUGUCUUUAAAGCUUUUCAAAAAUACUUGUCUACCGCCAUGAAAACCCAACCAAUUCACCUGGUAAAAACCAGCAGCCCUCUGUCUGUAACUUAUUAAUUGCUUUCUUUACCUUUACAGAAGUCUUUUAUAUUUUUCAUGUAUGACCUUUGAAUUUUAACAAUUGAACAACUAACAGGCAGGACCCUAGAGGUGGAGUUGAGCACACUUGCUGCCUUGGUUCUGCACAGUUGAUUGCCUGCCGGCAAGGGAGGUAAACUAAAGAAAACUGCAACAAACACGUGUGUCAAACCUCAAUAACACUGCAAUAAACAUACAUGUCAAACCUGUGGAGUACGACCUAUCUGAGGUCAGUAUAUCCUCUUCUGAUAAAGGAUACUGGAAAACGGUGUUUGGUGUACUUUGUUGAGGUGACUGAACACGCUCAGGCUGUUAAUUAAUGAGGUAGAGUGAUUUUAAUUAUCACAAGAAAUGUGAGUUAUCAUUUGUUGCAUACAAGUACCUGCUAAAAUACUUCCACGUUUUGCAUUACUCAGAAAGAAGAAACAAGUGAUGUGGUUCCUCACCGCUGUUUUCCAGUUGUCUCACUCUGUAUUGUGUUCUUUAUUAAACAAUGCCACACACAUCUGUUGGCUGAUCUGCUGUACUGCCAAGUUCAAGUCUAGCACAACGAGUCUAGAUUGCCUGUUGCCUUCUUGAUGUUUCACUGGGAUAAUUGACUAUGAAGAGUUAAAAGAAUGCUUCACUGAGCUCUUGAGUUUGAAAUAAAAAUAAUUUCAUGGAUAAAUGUUUUAUUUGUCAUAGUACUGAAGAUAACGUAAUGUCAUUGUCAUGCUGUUUAGUUUUCCUUUUGAACUGAGGAUUUUCAGCGCUGAGAAUGUGCCUAGCUAUGAUCAUAGGUGUUUAUGGUGUUUUCAUUGUGCUAAACUGUAAAGAUUUGUGAGAUUUUGUGUUGCAGUUGUGUUUGACCCUAGAGUUCUUGUAUGCUAACCUAAUGUAGAAGAUUAGCCUCUUUGCAUGCAGUGGGUGCCGUGACAAGCAUGCUCUGUGAGAAUGACAUAACCUCCCCUGGCUGCAGCCCCUUCCCAGUCCCGUUGUGGCCUCAUUUCCUGUGAAAGGCUGAAAAAACUCAUUGGCGAACGAGAGUCCUUACUAGACCAGGUGAAAAAGUUAAAGGGACAACUGGAAGAAAAGCAGAAGAAUGGCAAGUUGGAGAACGCACAGUCUGAGGUUGAAGUUCUGGAAAAUGGGACAGACAUGCACAUGAUUGACCUCCAAAGUAAUACGACUGGAAGGUCAGGUAGCCCGAUACAAAACUGCUGCUGAAAAUGCUGAAAGAGUAGAAGAUGAACUGAAAGCAGAGAAGCGCAAACUACAGAGAGAGCUUCGUUCAGCACUGGAUAAAACUGAAGAGCUCGAAGUCAGCAACGGUCAUCUAGUAAAACGCUUGGAGAAGAUGAAGGCCAACCGCAGUGCUUUACUGUCACAGCAAUAACCACCACCUCUCAGUGGAAACGACUACUGGGCAGAAUCCGAACAAUGUUACAGAUGCUUCUGUGUCUUGCUGUCUGGGAUGCUUUGCGUCAUGCCUUCUGACAACAGACAACUGCAACGUUUGCUAGGUGCCACCCAGCUGUGGUUCUCUUUACGCAGAUUCAAAUCUACUGCACUAUAUCCCUAGGAGUAGCUGAUCCAAAUGGCUGUGCCUGCGGGGCCCUUCUACACACUACUGUGGGUACACUGGGCGUACAAUAUCCAUAUACCAUAUAAGAAGCACAUCGGGGCGCCGCGUUAAGUUCUUUCUCCACCCAGAAGGCAUGGCAGCUGUCUCUCGCCAUUUAAAAUGGCAUUCAAAGAAAACACUUUAACUGGACUGGAAUUUUGUGUCUUGCUGAGAAUUUUAAAAAAACACUGUAAGUUUUAGACUUUCUCAUGACGGUAUCUGUAAUUUAGUGACUACGGUAGAGUUAUUCAUAGUAGGCUUUUCAUUUACAAAUCACUGUGGAACCACAAGCCAUUACAAAGCAAAACUCCUUCAGUGGAAACCGUGGAAGAAGAUGGUCUUGGAAGCAAAAGUGACCUUAAAUGACUUUGCCAAUAAAACAAAGGUGUUUGGAGGGAUUUUUGCACCGGUCGAAUCAUAAGACUAUUUUAUUUCAGGGUAAAUAGGCAAUAGCUUCAUUGGAUUUCAAAUCUUAUUUGUAUUAUUUAAUCCCUGCUCUUGAAAUUGAAGUAGAAUACUUCUUAAGGGUGUAAAGUUGUGUUAAUGAACCAGCGUAAAGGCCAUGUUUGAAGAAGUGGUGGGUUUUGCACUUCCAUGACUUCAGUACGUUUGUCAAAGCAAGUGUCGUUUGCUUAAACAAAAUAUGUCAUGGGUUUUUUACAUCAGAAACUAUCUACUGGUCCAUGAACUGCUAGGGAACUGCGCCGCUACAGAAUGCAAGUCUAAUCUUUAACAAGUAACUGAUAAGAAGCACUUUAGAAAAUGUUACUGAAUAUGGGUGGUUUUUUUUUACAAAUACAGAGAUAGCAAAGUAUUUCCUUUGCAAGUCAUCGUCAAGGUUUUCCACUUGUCAUUGAAACUACCAUAACCAGUUAAAAUGAUGCAGACGGUUUACACAGCUAGCACAAUAGCUCUGGUCUGUGGGAAAAACCUCUGAAUGUACUACUCCAAGGAGAACAGCAGUUAGCUGAAGAUGACAUCUCUUCUUUCCCCUUCAGCCCUACCCCAGAAGUAAUGCAGGUGAGCAUUCCCUAAGGGAUCUGCUCAUGUAAUAGAGCAGCAUCUCCUGUUUGCCAGGAGCAGCCUUCUGUCCAUACAGUUCUAUUAAGCCAAAUGCAAACUCAGAAGACCAUGUUUUCCUAACUUGGUUUUGGACUUGCUGGUCCAGGUCUUUCCCUAGCCUCAUCCUCGCAGAAUCGAGGUUAGAGGAUAAAGCGCUGCUACUUUGAACAUCAGGGGAUUGCUGGUAUCUUAGAGCACCUUCACGAGGUCAGUAAACCAAAACCAGUAUCUGAAUGUGUUUCUCUGAUUUGGCUAGGUUAUAACACCUUCCUCUUUGUCCCUCCGAGUGCCCUGAAGGUCAGGGAUGAAGUAUUCCAGGAGGAAGAGGAAGAAGGCUUGUUGUGCCCCUGAGGAAAUAAAUAUGUCCCUAUUGGUCAAAUGGGGUAGAAUCUUCAGUUAUUUAAUUUACACUCCAGCUGGGGCUUUGGAUUUUGUUUUCCUUUUCUUGAGAGGAACAUUCAGGUGCAGAGCCAUGUUUCUCGUGGAAUACCUCAAAAUCACUGUUGAUACCAAUUUACAACUUUAUGUGGUUGACUUGUGUAAUUUCUGGUGUACAAAGCCUCUGGGGUCUAAAAAAAAAACGAAUUAAGGACUUUUCUGAAUGCAAAUAAACACGCUAAAUGCUACAUCUUGCCAACUGAUGGUCAAGUGUGUGAUUACCAUCGGUCAUCUCAUUUGUGGUAGUGGUGAGGACUCGCCUGGCAAUAUUCAGGAGAAACAAAUUAGAGUUGGUCCAAAAGACUGAAAAUAAUGUUUUGCUCAUCAAGAAGUGAUGUGUUUUUUAAGUAGAUGAUUGCAUCUUACACCCCAUAAGCAUUAGCCUCAUGACAGAAAUCAGCUGUGUAUUUCAACCUGGAUAUGCUCUUAGUAGGAAUCGUUGUGUGUGAUGAAGUAGCUGGAUGCUGAAGCCGCGUUUUCCCCAUAACUUUCAGUAUGACUUAGCUUUAGAAUAAGGGAAGAGAAAGCACCGUUGGGUUUAAUGCAAACUGGUUUGUGUUUUCCUGUGAAGAAUGUACAACAGGGCUUUGGAUGCUGAUAACAGCACGUGCCCACCUUGUUUCCAUUGGGCUCCAGGCAGGGCUGCCUCCAACGGCCCCAAACCUGCCUUCUCCUACAAUUUCUAUUUAAAACUGCUACCCUUUGGGUUUAUUUUCAAGUGUUAAAUAAUUUUAAUGUUUGCAAAAUGGAAUGUUACCCAAAAUGUUUAUUGGUUGUUGGUUUUUUGUUGUUUUUUUUUUUCUUUUUAUGUAUAAAAGUUAGGAGCGUGAAAAAGGAAACUCAUCAGCAGAAGUUGCCAAUAAAAACAUCACUUGUCGGGUGGUUUUGGUGGAGUGAUCUGUCCUCGUGCUGCUGCUGGGAAACGGCCCCAGCACUGCUGCGGGGGGCCGUGGGGCUGAGGGCGGGAGGGGGGGAGGUUCUUCUGAAGGCGGCUGUGCUUUGGGGGUCGAUGCGUUCGGACUGCCAUAGCAUUGUUUAGAAGCCCCAACGUGCUUUUACUGCAUUUUAAGGACUCU
Molecule: long non-coding RNA, 6452 nt
Filed under: Gallus gallus (chicken)
Lineage: Eukaryota; Metazoa; Chordata; Aves; Galliformes; Phasianidae
Description: lncRNA (ENSGALG00010015603.1)
Source: RNAcentral